CCUACGGGGGGCUGCAGUGGGGAAUAUUGCACAAUGGGCGCAAGCCUGAUGCAGCCAUGCCGCGUGUGUGAAGAAGGCCCUAGGGUUGUAAAGCACUUUCAAUUGGGAAGAAAAGCUUGUCGUUAAUAGCGGCAAGCCCUGACAUUACCUUUAGAAGAAGCACCGGCUAACUCCGUGCCAGCAGCCGCGGUAA
Molecule: ribosomal RNA, 193 nt
Filed under: uncultured Alteromonadales bacterium
Lineage: Bacteria; Pseudomonadati; Pseudomonadota; Gammaproteobacteria; Alteromonadales
Description: partial 16S ribosomal RNA
Rfam family: Bacterial small subunit ribosomal RNA
Source: RNAcentral